This is an RNA transcript of Lathyrus oleraceus (garden pea), 2172 nucleotides long. It is a transcript of the gene named pentatricopeptide repeat-containing protein At3g22470, mitochondrial, with no coding region annotated. The transcript has 6 exons. The record is from RefSeq and is a predicted model, not a curated record. NCBI's taxonomy places the organism in Eukaryota, Viridiplantae, Streptophyta, Magnoliopsida, Fabales, Fabaceae.
AGGUUUUGUGCAAUUUUCGACUUUUUAAAUAAGUUUGUGGCUUUUAAUUGGAUUAGUUUGAAUUUGAACCUCAUUUUUAAUUUAUCUACGAGUCCCCGCUCCUAACCCAAGGCAUAAUCAUUGUGCAGAUUCCGAUCCAAAUGAACAAAGUUUUCUUCUAGUUUUAAGGAUGUUUUAUCAUCCCAUUUCAUAAACAACCCAUUCAAGAUUUUGGGUUCAUUUUUCAACACUUUGUUGAGUGUGCCAACGACACAACAAUGUCGCUUUUAAGGUCCUCCAGGUCAUGUAACUUUUGCUUUUUCAGUAUUGACGAAAAUUCUCAAGAGGGGUUAUCCACUAGAUACUAUAACUUUGACUGUAUUACUCAAGGGUCUCUGUCUCAAAGGUGAGGUUCAUAAAGCAUUGCACUUUCAUGACAAGGUAGUAGCUCAGGGCUUUCGUUUAGACCAAUUUAGUUAUGCGACAUUGAUCAACGGGUUAUGUAAAGUUGGAGAAACAAGCGCGGCGCUAAAAGUGCUAAGACAAGUUGAUGGGAAACUUGUUCAACCUAAUGUGGUAAUGUACACUACAAUUAUUCAUAGUUUAUGUAAAGAUAAAGAGGUUAUUGAUGCAUUUGAUUUAUACUCUGAAAUGGUUGCCAAAAGAAUUUCUCCUAAUGUUUUCACUUACAGUACUUUAAUCUAUGGUUUUUGUCUUGUUGGUCAAUUGAUAAAAGCAAUUCAUAUGCUAAAUAAAAUGAAUUUGGUAAACAUCAUCCCAGAUGUUUACACCUUUAGUACAUUGGUGGAUGCUUUUUGUAAAGAAGGUAAAGUGAAAGAAGCUAAAAUAGUGGUGGCUUUGAUGAUGAAAAAAGGUGUUGCACUUAAUGUUGUUAGUUAUAACACUUUAAUGGACGGAUAUUGUCUUGUAAAUGAAGUGAACAAAGCCAUGGAUAUUCUAAACAUUAUGUCUCGAAAAGGAGUCGUUGCUAAUGUUCGGAGCUACAAUAUCAUGAUUAACGGACUUUGUAAGGUUAAAAGGGUUGAUGAAGCUAUGAAGCUCUUUGAAGAAAUGCAUUGCAGACAAAUUUUUCCUAAUACGGUAACUUACAAUACCCUUAUAGAUGGUUUGUGCAAAUCUGGGAGAAUAUCACAUGCUUUGAAACUUGUCGGUAUGAUGCAUGAUAGAGGUCAACCGCCUGAUAUAGUUACUUACAAUUCUAUAUUGGAUGGUUUAUGCAAAAGGCAUCACGUUGACAAGGCAAUUGAAUUGUUAACGAAAUUUAAAGACCAAGGUAUUCAACCAAAUGUGUGCACGUACAGUAUUCUUAUCAAUGAAUUGUGCAAUAGUGGAAGAAUAAAGGAUGCAGAAAACGUUUUUGAAGAUCUUUUGGUCAAAGGCUACAAUCUAGAUGUCUAUACAUAUAAUGCUAUGAUCAAGGGAUUUUGUAUCAAGGGUUUGUUUGAUGAAGCACUGGCCAUGAUGUCUAAAAUGAAAGAUAAUGGUUGCAUUCCGAAUGCUCUAACUUAUGAAAGAACGAUUUAUUCUUUGUUGGGAAAAGAUGAAAAUGAUAUGGCAAAGAAACUUCUUCUUGAAAUGAUUGAGAAAGGUCUAUUGUAAGACUGAUACUAGGAGGUUUUAAUGUGAUGGAGCUGCCAUUUUCGAUUGUAUUGGUGGGACUGUGAGUGUGUGUUGCAGCAGGUUUCUUGUAUUUGGGUCUGUCUUUAUUCAGAUUAUCAGGAUUAAGACGAGAUGGGGCGGAUGACUCAUUUUGCCAUCCCUAGUUGGAGGAUAUGGUUGCCUGAGAUUCUUAAAGAUUGACUGUCAUGAUAUCGUGACUGCCGAUGUGUUAAUGUUUUGAAUAUUGUUACCACAGGAGGUGGUGGUACAAUAGAGCUUUUGUUGCUUUUGUAUGUACAGAUAUGUGAGAGGUCGAAGAAUGUUUCAAUUGGUGAGAACCUGCUCCGACGAAUUUGGGAAGUGGUUUUCUAAUUAGACCAUGCAGGGUGGUGGAUCUAUUAUUUACAUUGUUGAUCAUGUUGUAUUCAUAUUGUUGAUCAUGUUGUGACUUAGAUAUAAAGGUGAUACAAAAUUCAACUUGGUUUUGAAACUUGCAUAUUUUUCAACCUUUAGUUCUCAAUUUGUAACCUUUAGCAUAAGGAUAUGAAAUUAUAUAUAUUUUUUAUGUUAUCA